Molecule: non-coding RNA, 1399 nt
Organism: Danio rerio (zebrafish)
Lineage: Eukaryota; Metazoa; Chordata; Actinopteri; Cypriniformes; Danionidae
Source: RefSeq, a predicted model, not a curated record
AUAGAUUUGCAGACGCCACCACCAGUGCCAUAAAAAGCUGGGUUGAGUCAACAUAGAAACAGCAAACAAAAAGGAUGCCUCACUGUAAAAAAAAUCUGUAAAAUAACAGUUAAAUGACUGUAUAUUUUAACAGAUUUUUUCCGUAUACACGUAUUACGGGUGUUUUUCCGUUUAUAUACAUUUUCGAAUUGCAUUGUGGGAAGGGGAUCGCAGCUCAGACAGCGUUUGAUGGACACCGGGACAUAUUUCUUCCUCUGUUUUUUCCCUGGUAAGUACGAUUAAUAAAACAUAUAACAAUAUUUUAGUUAAAAGACUGCUUUAUUACCUUUUUAUCGUUAUUUAAAAUGAUUUUUGUCUUUUAUGAAGCGCCCAUGGAAAGUACAGCAUUGUUUGUCCGUAUUUUUCUAAACUGCCGUGCGCGGGAAGUGGCGUGACGUCCAAUCACCCACUCACUCCCUCUGCACCUGACUGGAUUAACGGUAAACGUCAGUUUGUCUGUAAGAGUGUAAAAGGUUCUUUCAUUUUGGUUAUAAGUACAUGUUACAGGUAAAUUCUUAGAUUCAAUCCAAACUGAAUUUGAAUUAAUACGGACAAAUGAAAUAAAAUACACCUGGGAUUUUAAAUGUUUUCAUUUUUUUAUUAUUCACAACGUUUGUGAAGUCUAAAUGUAGACUGUCUCAAACUGAAUAAGUGUUAUUUUUGUUGUAGGUGUGUUGGUGUAAAAAUUGAUGCUGACUGAACUCAGGCACUUGUGCUGGACCAUCUGUACCUAAUACAGGGGAUGACAGUAAACUUCCAAGUUUAAGAGCCACCUGAUGAUGAGAGACACAAUUUCAAUGUGGGCAUCUUGAUGAAGAAGAGUCCACAGUCACAAUAACAAGAUCAUUGAGCUGUCCCCUAAUUGUGGUGAGCUACAUGUUUAGUCUCUUAUGUGCUAAACAUUAUGUAGCCUAAGGAAGCAGCCCUGACUCUGGAGUUUAUAUGAAGGAGCAUGCUGAGUAACUAUCCAGAAUGUAGGUCCAUAGCAGAAAAAAGUGCACCAAGCAGAAACAUACCAUCUAAACUCCUUCGAUUCCUGUCAGACCAGAAAGACUUUCAGAAUCCUUGGAAGAUUUAAAGCCAUUGAAGUAUCAGUAUUGGAGCGGAAGAAGACCCAGUUGUAUCGUCUGUUUCCUGCCAUCUUGCAGUUAACCUGGUUUCUUAAUGUAAAGUACUUGUAAUUUGCCCACUUGUCCUCAAUUAUCUUAAAGCUAACAUUUAAAACUAAUUUGCUUUGAGAUUAUUUGCCAAGACUUCUCACUGUGUGAUUCACAUAUCAAUAUGUAUUUAUUGUGUGUAUAACUUGCUAUUUGGAAUUCAAAUGAUUUGUAUUCAUUAAAGAAUCUGUUUUAAUUGCAAA